RNAcentral lists this ribosomal RNA (784 nucleotides) under uncultured Neisseria sp. Its description in RNAcentral is "bacterial SSU rRNA". It matches the Rfam family "Bacterial small subunit ribosomal RNA", at positions 727 to 1512 of the family's 1533-position model. Lineage: Bacteria; Pseudomonadati; Pseudomonadota; Betaproteobacteria; Neisseriales; Neisseriaceae. The record is from RNAcentral.
UCCUGGGAUAACACUGACGUUCAUGCUCGAAAGCGUGGGUAGCAAACAGGAUUAGAUACCCUGGUAGUCCACGCCCUAAACGAUGUCAAUUAGCUGUUGGGCAACUUGAUUGCUUAGUAGCGUAGCUAACGCGUGAAAUUGACCGCCUGGGGAGUACGGUCGCAAGAUUAAAACUCAAAGGAAUUGACGGGGACCCGCACAAGCAGUGGAUGAUGUGGAUUAAUUCGAUGCAACGCGAAGAACCUUACCUGGUCUUGACAUGUACGGAAUCCUCCAGAGACGGAGGAGUGCCUUCGGGAGCCGUAACACAGGUGCUGCAUGGCUGUCGUCAGCUCGUGUCGUGAGAUGUUGGGUUAAGUCCCGCAACGAGCGCAACCCUUGUCAUUAGUUGCCAUCAUUUAGUUGGGCACUCUAAUGAGACUGCCGGUGACAAGCCGGAGGAAGGUGGGGAUGACGUCAAGUCCUCAUGGCCCUUAUGACCAGGGCUUCACACGUCGUACAAUGGUCGGUACAGAGGGUAGCCAAGCCGCGAGGUGGAGCCAAUCUCACAAAACCGAUCGUAGUCCGGAUUGCACUCUGCAACUCGAGUGCAUGAAGUCGGAAUCGCUAGUAAUCGCAGGUCAGCAUACUGCGGUGAAUACGUUCCCGGGUCUUGUACACACCGCCCGUCACACCAUGGGAGUGGGGGAUACCAGAAGUAGGUAGGGUAACCGCAAGGAGCCCGCUUACCACGGUAUGCUUCAUGACUGGGGUGAAGUCGUAACAAGGUAGCCGUAGGGGAACC